This 846-nucleotide ribosomal RNA is filed under the name uncultured bacterium. RNAcentral's name for it is "bacterial SSU rRNA". It matches the Rfam family "Bacterial small subunit ribosomal RNA", at positions 137 to 977 of the family's 1533-position model. The record is from RNAcentral.
UGGGGGACAACAUUUCGAAAGGAAUGCUAAUACCGCAUACGUCCUACGGGAGAAAGCAGGGGAUCUUCGGACCUUGCGCUAAUAGAUGAGCCUAAGUCGGAUUAGCUAGUUGGUGGGGUAAAGGCCUACCAAGGCGACGAUCUGUAGCGGGUCUGAGAGGAUGAUCCGCCACACUGGGACUGAGACACGGCCCAGACUCCUACGGGAGGCAGCAGUGGGGAAUAUUGGACAAUGGGCGCAAGCCUGAUCCAGCCAUGCCGCGUGUGUGAAGAAGGCCUUAUGGUUGUAAAGCACUUUAAGCGAGGAGGAGGCUACUUUAGUUUAUACCUAGAGAUAGUGGACGUUACUCGCAGAAUAAGCACCGGCUAACUCUGUGCCAGCAGCCGCGGUAAUACAGAGGGUGCAAGCGUUAAUCGGAUUUACUGGGCGUAAAGCGCGCGUAGGCGGCUAAUUAAGUCAAAUGUGAAAUCCCCGAGCUUAACUUGGGAAUUGCAUUCGAUACUGGUUAGCUAGAGUGUGGGAGAGGAUGGUAGAAUUCCAGGUGUAGCGGUGAAAUGCGUAGAGAUCUGGAGGAAUACCGAUGGCGAAGGCAGCCAUCUGGCCUAACACUGACGCUGAGGUGCGAAAGCAUGGGGAGCAAACAGGAUUAGAUACCCUGGUAGUCCAUGCCGUAAACGAUGUCUACUAGCCGUUGGGGCCUUUGAGGCUUUAGUGGCGCAGCUAACGCGAUAAGUAGACCGCCUGGGGAGUACGGUCGCAAGACUAAAACUCAAAUGAAUUGACGGGGGCCCGCACAAGCGGUGGAGCAUGUGGUUUAAUUCGAUGCAACGCGAGGAACCUUACCUG